This 72-nucleotide transfer RNA is filed under the name Dipodomys ordii (Ord's kangaroo rat). It matches the Rfam family "tRNA". Rfam says of the family: Transfer RNA (tRNA) molecules are approximately 80 nucleotides in length. Their secondary structure includes four short double-helical elements and three loops (D, anti-codon, and T loops). The record is from Rfam by way of RNAcentral. Lineage: Eukaryota; Metazoa; Chordata; Mammalia; Rodentia; Heteromyidae.
GGGAAUGUGGCUUAGUGGUAGAGUGCUUGCCUCUAGCAUGCAUGAAGCCAUAGGUUCGAUUCCUCAGUACCA